Molecule: ribosomal RNA, 253 nt
Filed under: uncultured bacterium
Lineage: Bacteria
Description: partial 16S ribosomal RNA
Rfam family: Bacterial small subunit ribosomal RNA
Source: RNAcentral
UACGGAGGGGGCUAGCGUUGUUCGGAAUUACUGGGCGUAAAGCGCACGUAGGCGGCUUUGUAAGUUAGAGGUGAAAGCCCGGGGCUCAACUCCGGAAUUGCCUUUAAGACUGCAUCGCUAGAAUUGUGGAGAGGUAAGUGGAAUUCCGAGUGUAGAGGUGAGAUUCGUAGAUAUUCGGAAGAACACCGGUGGCGAAGGCGACUACCUGGCCUGUUCUUGACGCUGAGGCGCGAAAGCUAGGGGAGCAAACGGG